Molecule: long non-coding RNA, 958 nt
Filed under: Equus asinus (donkey)
Lineage: Eukaryota; Metazoa; Chordata; Mammalia; Perissodactyla; Equidae
Description: lncRNA (ENSEASG00005033127.1)
Source: RNAcentral
CUCAUUUUACAGAUGAGGAAAUUGAAGCCCAAAGACUUAGUUAAAAGACUUACUCAAGGUUCUAGGGCAAGACAGAGACAGUAUUGGACUCUUUGCAAUACAUCGCCCUUUUCACUAAAACACUCAUGCUGGUUGACUGGGUGCUCCUCCAGUCAUUUCCACUACUGCCACUGUGCUGUUCCAGCAUCAUCAGUUCCAGGCAGAAGUGCCAGGAAAUGUGGGACUGUCAACAAUGGGCAUAAAUGUUCAACGCACAAAUUUAGAGAGAACAGAGAAGCAAACAAGAAGAGAGUGAAAGUCGACUUUGGACGGCUCCUCAGAGGACUGCUGUCGAGACCGAAUGCCCUAUUGAUUUCAGUUGACAGCGUUUGCCUAUCCUUUUUCUUUUUUUAAACAUCACGAACAAGAUUUUUUAUGUCACCAUUAAAAGUCUGAAUUUUAAGCAAAUUCUUGGAUAGUUGGCUCAUAUCCAGAAACACCUGUCUCAUCUUCAGUGGCUUUUCCAGAACCAUUACCUUCGCCAUGAAACUCCAUGAGUUUUCCCAAUUCAAACUUAGGCUUCUGCAGCAUUUUACUUUUCCAACAAGUACAUCAUGGCGCGGGAUAAAUAGAUUGGUAAGCCUUUUCUAUGUCUUUACCAAUGCUUUCUGAAUGAAUUUAUUGAUCACGUCUUUCAAGCCGUUCACAUCUCUGGGGUCAUGAUUUCCACCAUCUUCUUCCGGAUUUGAUGGACUUGUUUGUACUGAGUGUAAGAGGGUCUUCUGAAUCUGGUUAUUGAGUUUUUUCAGUAACACUAAUACAGAAUAGAUGAAGCAAAUGAUCAUCGUUAGUCUUGACGUCAACAUGAGCUUCAAUCAUGGUUUCCCGUGUUUUGACCCUGGAGCACAUUAUGUCAAAAGGUAAGAUCCAGCCAUAGAGGUUAGUCAGGUAGUUUUUGCCCUGAACACCCUCUGUAAUC